Molecule: small nuclear RNA, 191 nt
Organism: Polyodon spathula (Mississippi paddlefish)
Lineage: Eukaryota; Metazoa; Chordata; Actinopteri; Acipenseriformes; Polyodontidae
Product: U2 spliceosomal RNA
Exons: 1
Source: RefSeq, a predicted model, not a curated record
AUCGCGUCUCGGCCUCUUGGCUCAGAUCAAGUGUAGUAUGUGUUCUUAUCAGUUUAAUAUCUGAUACGUCCUCUAUCAGGGGACCAUAUAUUAAAUUGUUUUUUGGAAUCUGGAGAUGGAACAGGGGCCUGCUCCGUCCACUCCACGCAUCGACCCGGUAUUGCAGUACCUCCGGGAACGGGGCCCAUUUC